UUCUCGUCCUCCUUUUUGAUCAGCCGCCUG
RNAcentral lists this non-coding RNA (30 nucleotides) under Mus musculus (house mouse). Lineage: Eukaryota; Metazoa; Chordata; Mammalia; Rodentia; Muridae. The record is from RNAcentral.